GACGAACGCUGGCGGCGUGCUUAACACAUGCAAGUCGAACGGUGAACUCCGCUUGCGGGGGGAUCAGUGUCGAACGGGUGAGUAACACGUGGGCAACCUGCCCCCAGCUCUGGGAUAACUCCAAGAAAUUGGGGCUAAUACCGGAUACGACCGCUGACCGCAUGGUCUGGGGGCGGAAAGAUUUAUCGGAUGGGGAUGUGCCCGAGGCCUAUCAGCCUGUUGGUUGGGUAGUGGCUUACCAAGGAGACGACGGGUAGCCGGCCUGAGAGGGUGACCGGCCACACUGGGCCUGGGACACGGCCCAGACGCAUACGGGAGGAAGCAGUGGGGAAUAUAGCGCACUGGGCGAAAGCCUGACGCAGCGACGCCGCGUGGGGGAGGACGGCCUUCGGGUAGUAAACCUCUUUCAGGAGGGACGAAGCGAAAGGGACGGUACCUGCAGAAGAAGCACCGGCCAACUACGU
This 464-nucleotide ribosomal RNA is filed under the name uncultured bacterium. RNAcentral describes it as "partial 16S ribosomal RNA". It matches the Rfam family "Bacterial small subunit ribosomal RNA", at positions 28 to 506 of the family's 1533-position model. The record is from RNAcentral.